Molecule: ribosomal RNA, 1240 nt
Filed under: Escherichia coli
Lineage: Bacteria; Pseudomonadati; Pseudomonadota; Gammaproteobacteria; Enterobacterales; Enterobacteriaceae
Description: partial 23S ribosomal RNA
Rfam family: Bacterial large subunit ribosomal RNA
Source: RNAcentral
ACACACGGCGGGUGCUAACGUCCGUCGUGAAGAGGGAAACAACCCAGACCGCCAGCUAAGGUCCCAAAGUCAUGGUUAAGUGGGAAACGAUGUGGGAAGGCCCAGACAGCCAGGAUGUUGGCUUAGAAGCAGCCAUCAUUUAAAGAAAGCGUAAUAGCUCACUGGUCGAGUCGGCCUGCGCGGAAGAUGUAACGGGGCUAAACCAUGCACCGAAGCUGCGGCAGCGACGCUUAUGCGUUGUUGGGUAGGGGAGCGUUCUGUAAGCCUGUGAAGGUGUGCUGUGAGGCAUGCUGGAGGUAUCAGAAGUGCGAAUGCUGACAUAAGUAACGAUAAAGCGGGUGAAAAGCCCGCUCGCCGGAAGACCAAGGGUUCCUGUCCAACGUUAAUCGGGGCAGGGUGAGUCGACCCCUAAGGCGAGGCCGAAAGGCGUAGUCGAUGGGAAACAGGUUAAUAUUCCUGUACUUGGUGUUACUGCGAAGGGGGGACGGAGAAGGCUAUGUUGGCCGGGCGACGGUUGUCCCGGUUUAAGCGUGUAGGCUGGUUUUCCAGGCAAAUCCGGAAAAUCAAGGCUGAGGCGUGAUGACGAGGCACUACGGUGCUGAAGCAACAAAUGCCCUGCUUCCAGGAAAAGCCUCUAAGCAUCAGGUAACAUCAAAUCGUACCCCAAACCGACACAGGUGGUCAGGUAGAGAAUACCAAGGCGCUUGAGAGAACUCGGGUGAAGGAACUAGGCAAAAUGGUGCCGUAACUUCGGGAGAAGGCACGCUGAUAUGUAGGUGAAGUCCCUCGCGGAUGGAGCUGAAAUCAGUCGAAGAUACCAGCUGGCUGCAACUGUUUAUUAAAAACACAGCACUGUGCAAACACGAAAGUGGACGUAUACGGUGUGACGCCUGCCCGGUGCCGGAAGGUUAAUUGAUGGGGUCAGCGCAAGCGAAGCUCUUGAUCGAAGCCCCGGUAAACGGCGGCCGUAACUAUAACGGUCCUAAGGUAGCGAAAUUCCUUGUCGGGUAAGUUCCGACCUGCACGAAUGGCGUAAUGAUGGCCAGGCUGUCUCCACCCGAGACUCAGUGAAAUUGAACUCGCUGUGAAGAUGCAGUGUACCCGCGGCAAGACGGAAAGACCCCGUGAACCUUUACUAUAGCUUGACACUGAACAUUGAGCCUUGAUGUGUAGGAUAGGUGGGAGGCUUAGAAGUGUGGACGCCAGUCUGCAUGGAGCCGACCUUGAAAUACCACCCUUU